CUCUUAUCCAGAGAGGCGGAGGGACUAGGCCCGAUGAAGCCCGGCAACCUUCAUGCCUGCGAACAACUCGCAGCUGCAUGAAAAGGUGCUAAUUCCUGCAGACGAAAGUCUGAAAGAUAAGAG
RNAcentral lists this non-coding RNA (123 nucleotides) under [Bacillus] enclensis. RNAcentral describes it as "Bacillus enclensis SAM-I sequence". It matches the Rfam family "SAM riboswitch aptamer (S box leader)". Rfam says of the family: The SAM riboswitch is found upstream of a number of genes which code for proteins involved in methionine or cysteine biosynthesis in Gram-positive bacteria. The record is from RNAcentral. Lineage: Bacteria; Bacillati; Bacillota; Bacilli; Caryophanales; Bacillaceae.